RNAcentral lists this ribosomal RNA (478 nucleotides) under uncultured bacterium. RNAcentral describes it as "partial 16S ribosomal RNA". It matches the Rfam family "Bacterial small subunit ribosomal RNA", at positions 28 to 523 of the family's 1533-position model. The record is from RNAcentral.
GACGAACGCUGGCGGCGUGCUUAACACAUGCAAGUCGAACGGUAAGGCCCUUCGGGGUACACGAGUGGCGAACGGGUGAGUAACACGUGGGUGAUCUGCCCUGCACUUCGGGAUAAGCCUGGGAAACUGGGUCUAAUACCGGAUAGGACCACUGCCUGCAUGUGAUGGUGGUGGAAAGUUUUUCGGCCAGGGAUGUGCUCGCGGCCUAUCAGCUUGAUGGUGAGGUAAUGGCUCACCAUGGCUUCGACGGGUAGCCGGCCUGAGAGGGUGACCGGUCACACUGGGACUGAGACACGGCCCAGACUCCUACGGGAGGCAGCAGUGGGGAAUAUUGGACAAUGGGCGGAAGCCUGAUCCAGCAACGCCGCGUGAGGGAUGACGGCCUUCGGGUUGUAAACCUCUUUCGCCUAUGACGAAGCGCAAGUGACGGUAAUAGGUAAAGAAGCACCGGCCAACUACGUGCCAGCCGCCGCGGUAA